GUUUCCAUGGUGAGGGCACUCCCUUUAAUACUCUUUGAACCUAUCCCAUGCUUCAAAUAGAGACUCAUCCCGCUUUUUUCUCAAAAGAUUGGAUCUUAUGACGGUAUUC
This is a non-coding RNA of Spinacia oleracea (spinach), 109 nucleotides long. Lineage: Eukaryota; Viridiplantae; Streptophyta; Magnoliopsida; Caryophyllales; Amaranthaceae. The record is from Rfam.